Long non-coding RNA from Hypanus sabinus (Atlantic stingray), 10934 nucleotides. RefSeq lists it as uncharacterized. Lineage: Eukaryota; Metazoa; Chordata; Chondrichthyes; Myliobatiformes; Dasyatidae. The transcript is spliced from 4 exons. The record is from RefSeq and is a predicted model, not a curated record.
UACUUACUUCUGACAAGAGACAUGAAAUAAGUAUGAAAAUGGGACAGAGGGGAAACAUUUUUAGAUUGCAGAGAAUUCGUUGUGAACAUUCUAAAUGCAUACAUAAACCUGUCAGCAGCAAUCGUUCAGUCUGCUGUGUGCAACAACACCUACAGUAAGCUAUUUGAAUACAAAGUGGAGUUGUUUCCAAGUUAAUAAUUUGGAACAGUAUUCCAACAGUAAAGUAAUGGAAAUUAUUAUUAAAGCCCUUCUCCAGAGAAGGCAAGUUUAAAUCGUGCUAUUUGUGUUUAAUAAAGGAAACUUGAUGCUCAUAAAAAAACAUUUUGAUCACACUUUAGAAGUACUUCAAUGACUCUGAAACACCUUGGGAUGUCCUAGAAGUAGUCUGAAAGGCAAUGUUUAACCGUAAGGCCUUUUCAUCACUGAAUAAGCAGUGAAGCCUUCCAUGCUAUGACAGAGUUUCUCUGUUAUUCUUUCUUUAACUUCUCACAUUCCUUCUUCUGUGCUUGCUUUAAAGCAUGCAAUGUGUUUAAUUUUUCUCGAUUUUGGAUGGAAGGGUCAGAGUGGAAGAUACAAAAUGGAAGACUUCAACUUGAAAUGUUGACUCAGUUUUUCUCUCCACAUACUGCAUAUUACCUGACACAACCUCCAGGAGACAGAAACCACCCCCCCAAAGGAUGAAUGACGGAACCCCAAAGCCCCCCCCAUUCACAAGGAGCAGCAAAAACAUCAACCCUCCUGCUCGCCCCUUCCCUCACUUGCUCCAGCAAAAGCAUCAACUCCCCACCACCCACCAUGCUGUAAUAGCAAAGCCCCCACAGAGACCAUGAUCUAAUUCAAUAAACUGAUGUCCUUUGCCUCUUUGUUGGCAUGCGUAGUUGCAACCCCAUUACAAAUAUUGAUCAAAUCGCAGCAGUGAGUUGGUGAGGUGCAGCUCACGUCUUCACAUCGUAGUCUUGUAAUUUGUUGCCAAGCACCAUGAGCAACCUUAUCCAAACCUCAGGGAAAACAUAUUUAAGUUCUUCAUAGCAAGUUGGAUAUAAAGGAGCCCACGAUUUCAAGGUGGAGCAUAACUCUUGAUCACAUGUGGCCAAUAUUUUCACCUAAAUCAACAGCACCAAAACACAUCAUCUGGUAAUUAUGACAUGGCUAACUGUGGGAGCAGGCAGUGCAUACAUUGACUGCUGCAUUUCUUACUUUACAACAGUGAAGAUACAUCAAAUAGUUCUUCACUGGCUGCAAAGUUCUUUGGGAUGUCCUCAGGUCAUAAAAGCUGCGAUGUAAAUGCAAGUCUUUCUUUCUUUACGAAUUUGAUGAAUUGAAGCUGUGACCUUCCAUUUACUCUUGGAUUUUUCUCACAAAAGAUUAAAGUUACCGAAGUUCACCCUUGCAACAAGUAUAUACUUUGAAUUGCAAUUGCUGGACAUCGAUAAUGUUUCUCUUGUUCGGUGGGAUGACCGGUGGCGUGGGAGCUGUGUGGUCUUGGUUGUAGCGAGGACUGGACCUCAGGCUGCAGGCUGCAGUCCAGGAGAGGAGACACUGGAGGCGGGGCAGUGUGGUGUCCAUGCUCAUUUGGGGACUGUCUUCUCCCGUCGAUGCUGCCCUCCAAUGUUCAAUUGGUGGAAUGAGUGACAAGAGAAAAUCUUCAGAUGCUGCCUGGCCUGCUGAGUUCCUGAACAUGGAAUGACAGGCUAGAUUACAGUGGGACAGGUCGCUCAAGGUCUUGGAAUAUAUAUGUUUUUUUUUGUGUGACUAUUGUUUCUUUGCUCACUGUUUUGAAUGCGUUGUGUAUGCUUUGCACCUUGGCCCCAGAGGAAUGCUGUUUCGUUUGGCUGUAUUCAAGAAUGGCUGAAUGACAAAUGAACCUGAAUUUGAUUUGAUUUGGUUUAUUUUAUUCAUUAGUGGAGCAAGAGCAGCAUUUACUUACAUCCUUUCUUUGUUUCCUCAGUCAUUCUAAAGUUAGGUUGGUGGUUAUUCUAGAUCUAAUGUCACAAAAAGGUAAGAUCAAGUUCAAUUUCAAAGUUUAAAGUAAAUUUAUUAUCAAAGUACACAUAUGUCACCAAAUACUACCCUGAGAUUAAUUUUUUUAUGGCCGUUCACAGCAGAACAAUGCAGUUAAAUAGAAUCAGUGAAUCAGAAGAAUGAGCCGUAAUCUCAUUGAAACCUGUUGAAUGUUUGAAAGACCUUGAUAGAAUGGAGUUAGAGAGUAUGUUCCCUAAGAUGGAGUGUGUAAGACCAGAGGACGCAGCCUCAGAAUAGAGGGGUGUCCUUUUAAAACAGAGAUGAGGAGGGAUUUCUGUAGCCAGAUGGUGGUGAAUCUGUGGAAUCGUUGCCACUGGUGGCUGUGGAAGCCAAGUCAUUGGGUAUACUUAAGUUAGAAGUUGAUAGAUUCCUGAUUGGUCAGGGCAUGAAGAGAUAUGGGGAGAAGGCAGGAGAUUGAGCCUGAGAGGGAAAAUUGAUCAGUCAUGAUGAAAUUGUGGACAAACUCCAUGGGCCAAAUGGCCUAAUUCUGCUCCUAUACCAUAUGAUCUUAUGGUGUAAAAAUCACACACAAAGACUGACAAGCAACCAAUGUGCAAAAGAAGUCAAACUAUAAAUACCAAAAGAAAACACGUAAGAACAACUUACCUAAUAGAUGUUAUCAUUCUAAACACACAUAACAUACAGAAAUCAAUAAGUGAAAAACAUUAGAAAUACGCUGAAUUAAAAGAGGAAACUGAAAGACUAUGGACCAUGAACAGGGUAUACUUUGUUCCGAUAGUAAUAUCUACAACUGGUAUCAUCCCAAAGUCACUACACAAUAGCAUUAAACAAUUAGGCCUGCACAGCAAAAUUUAUGUAAAUCUUCAGAAAGUCACAACACUAAACACCACAAGAACAGUCUGAAUGUUUCUCACAAUUGAGGAAUAAGCGUGCUAGGCUUUACCCGUAGCUCAGAUUUUACCAGCUUGAGCAGAGAAAAAAAAAUAAUGAUGGUAAUUAGAUAAGUAAAUAAGUAACACUGAAAACAUGAGUUGUAGAGUCUUGAAUGUAAGUACAUAGAUUCUGUUCAGUGAUCAGAUCAGUGUUGUGGUGAGUGAAGAUGUCCAGGAGCUUGAUGGGUGAAGACUAAUAAAAAAACCGGCAAAUUUCCACCUUUAAAGGACAACAAUGAGCAAUCAACUGAUGCAAGCUGUUUCUUCAGAAACUCUAGGUUUAUUUAAUUACUGAAAUUUAAAUUUUCCAGGUGCUCUGUGACUGAAUUUGAACUCAUUUCUGCAGAUCAUUAGUUGAUGUCUCUGGAUUACCAACAUAGUAACAAUUGCUCUUCAACAAUCCCCUCUUUGAUGUAUUGUGCUUUGCCUUCAUUGAGUUUUGCUUAAAGUUGUAAUGCUAUCAGCUCAUGUGAGUAGAUUUGAUCAUAUGACUGGAAGAGGAACCUGGACAUUGAAAAGGCUCCUUGAGGCAGAGUUGGAAGGCAAUGAAAUCCCAGGACAUUGUUUCAGGGGCAGGGUCAUGGGUUAAACACCCUAACUAUUCUUCAAAGUAGAGAAGUGUGAACUGUUACAUCCCUGAAAUGAGCAGACAUGAUCUGGGUAUAAUAUUUUAAUACCAAGGGUAGUAUCUUACAUGUGCCCCAGGCUGACCCUUUACUUCCAGUUAAAGGAAGGUCAGUGAGCUCCUGGCGGGCAAAGGAAAUGUUUCAAAGAUAACAUCAGAAUCAGCCUGAAGAUAUUCAAUGUUACAUCUGAAAACUGGGAAGACAUUUCACUCGCCUGGAGGGAGCUACGCUACAAGUGGUUGCUGUGAAAGGAGAGAUUGAACAACCAAAAGACCCAGCCACGAAUCAUAACCGCCAUUACACUUGCCCACACUGCACCAGCAUAUGUGGAUUUCAGAACAGCCUCUAUAACCAUCUCUAACAACAAUAGACAACCCAUGAGGAGACCAUCAUUCUUGACUUGAGUGAUUGUGCUUCCUCAUAUAGCGAAGGAUUCUAUCAGAAUCAGGUUUAUUAUCACUGACAAACGUCAUGAAAUUUACUGUUUUGAGGCAGCAGUACAGUGUAACAUAUAAAAUAUACUAUAAAUAGUAUAUUAAAUUAUUGCAAAAAGAGAGCAGACAUAGUGAGGUGGCGUUCAUGGGCUCGUUGUCCAUUCAGCAAUCUAACGGCAGUGUUGAUAAAGCUGUUCCUAAAACAUUGAGUGUGUGCCUUCAGCCUCCUGUACCACCUCUCUGAUGAUAAUAAUGAGAAGAGGGCAUGCCCUUAAUGAUGGAUGCCACUUUUUGAGGUAUCGGCUUUCGAAGAGGAGCAAUGGUGGGAAGGCUAGAGUUCAUGACAGAGUUAGUUGAGUUUAUAACCCUCUGCAGCUUUUUUCUGCUCUUGUACAGUGGGGCCUCCAUACCAGACAGUGAUGCUACCAGUUAGAAUGUUUUCCAUGGUACAUCUGUAGGAAUUUGCUCAAGUCUUUUUAACAUACCAAAUCUCCUCACUCCUAAUGAAGUACCAUACUAAACCAUAGUGUCAGCCUUCAUUCCUGUAUUUCUGGUGGAACUUGAACUACAAUCUUCUGACCUAGAGGCAAGAGUACUGCCACCUAAGCCACAUUGACUCUGCACUGUACUAAAGGAACAUCUGUUGUUUUGAAUCACAAACAAGAGAAAAUCUUCAGAUGCUGGAAAUCAAAGCAACACACACACACACACACACACACACAAAGUGCUGGAGAAACUAAGCAGGCCAGGCAGCACCUGUGGAAAAGUGUAAACAGUCGAUGUUUGGAGAUGAGACCCUUCAACAGGACUGGAACAAAGAAGAUGAGAAGUCAGAGUAAGAAGUGGACGAAGGGCAGGAAGAAGUACAAGGUCGUAGGUGAAAGGUGAAACUGAGAGAGGGGAGGGGUGAGUAAAGAGUUGGGAAGUUGAUUGGUGAAAGAGAUAAAGGGCUGGAGAAGGGGGACUGAAAGGAGAGGACAGAAAGCCAUGGAAGAAAGGGAAAGGGGAGGAGCACUGGAGGGAGGUGAUGGGCAGGUAAGGAGAUAAGGUGAGAGACGGAAAUGUACAUGAAGAAUGCUGAAGGUGAGUGGGGGAGACAAUAACUGAAAGUUUGAGAAAUCAGUAUUCAUGCUACAAUGUUGGAGGCUAACCAGAUGGAAUAUAAAGCGUUGCUCCUCCAACCUGAGUGUGGUCUCAUCGGGGCAAUAGAGUCCAGAGAAUGCCAGAUUGAGAAUGGGAAGCCGAAUUGAAAUGGGUGGCCACGGAGAGUAGUUGCUUGACAAAGCAGUCUCCCGAUCUAUCCCAGGUGUUGCAAUGGAGUGGACUGGGGAGCAGGACUCAGGCACAGAGACUUGACACAGAGACGGAUUUGAACUUGACUCGGAACUGAGAUUGGGACUGAGAGGAAAAAUGCCUCAGCCAUGAUGAAAUGGUGGAGCAGACUCUGUGGGUCAAAUGGCCCAAUUCUGCUCCUACUUCUUGUGGCCUUAUAGCUUUAUCUCAUUAGUUCUGGAAAGAAAAACCGUAUCCUGGAAGCAGAUGUGCCAGAGAUGGAGGAAUUGAGAGAAGGAAUGGCAUUUAGAAACAUAGAAUACUGAAGUGAAGUAUUCAUUGAGUACCUCUGCUAUUUCCUCCGGUUCUAUACGCACUUUCCCACUGUCACACUUCUUUCACGUUUUAUGCUCUUGCUCUUCACAUACUUGUAGAAUGCCUUGGGGUUUUCCUUAAUUCUGCCUGCCAAGGCCUUCUCAUGGCCCCUUCUGGCUCUCCUAAUUUCCUUCUUAAGCUCCUUCCUAGUAGCCUUAUAAUCUUCUAGAUCGCUAACAUUACCUAGCUCUCUAAACCUUCUGUAAGCUUUUCUCUUCUUCUUGAUUAGAUUUAUUACAGCCUUUGUACACCAUGGUUCCUGUACCCUACCAUAACUUCCCUGUCUCAUUGGAAUGUACCUAUAAAGAACUCUACACAAAUAUCCCCUGAAUAUUUGCCACAUUUCUUCUGUAUUUUUCCCUGAGAACAUCUGUUUCCAACUGAAGCCUCCAAUUUCCUGCCUGAUAGCGUCAUAAUUGCCCUUACUCCAAUUAAAUGCUUUUCUAUUGGUUCCUAUCUUUUGUUGGUUUUUGUCGGUUCCUAUCUCUCUCUAAUGCUAUUGUAAAGGAGAUAGAAUUAUGAUCACUAUCUCCAAAAUGCUCUCCCACUGAGAGAUCUGACACCUGACUGGGUUCAAUUCCCAAUAUCAAAUCAAGUACAGCCUCUCUUCUUGUAGGCUUAUCUACAUACUGUGUCAAGAAACCUUCCUGGACACAACUAACAAACUCCACCCCAUCUAAACCCCUUGCUCUAGGGGGAUGCCAAACAAUAUUUGGGAAAUUAAAAUCUCCCAUCACGACAACUCUGUUAUUAUUACACCUUUCCAGGAUCUGUUUCCCUAUCUGCUCUUUGAUAUCCCUGUUACUAUUGGGUGGCCUAUAAAAAACACCUUCCUGUUCCUAACCUCCACCCAUAGAGACUCCGUAGACAAUCCCUCCAUGGCAUCCACCUUUUCUGCAACCUUGACACUAUCUCUGAUCAACAGUGCCAUACCCGACCCCCACCUCUUUUGUCUCCCUCCCUGUUGUUCCGAAACAUCUAAAACCUGGAACUUGAAGUAACCAUUCCUGUCCCUGAGCCAUCCAAGUCUCUGUAAUUUCCACCACAUCAUAUCUCCAAGUACUGAUCCAUGCUCUAAGCUCAUCUGCUUUGUUCACAACACUCCUUGCAUUAAAAUAGACACAUCUCAAGCCUUUGGUUUGAGCACGUCCCUUUUCUAUCACCUGCCUAUCCUCCCUCUCGCACUGUCUACAAGCUUUCUCUAUUUUUGAGCUAACCUCCUCUUCCCCAGUCUCUUCAGUUCGGUUCCCACCCCCCAACAAUUCUAGUUUAAACUCUCCUCAGUAGCCUUAGCAAACCUCCCCAACAGGAUAUUGGUCACCCUGGGAUUCAAGUGCAACCCGUCCUUUUUGUACAGGUCACACCUCCCCCAAAAGAGGUCCCAAUGAUCCAGAAAUCUCAAUCCCUGCCCCCUGCUCCAAUCCCUCAACCACGCAUUUAUCCUCCACCUCAUUCUAAUCCUAUUCUCGCUGUUGCAUGGCACAGGCAGUAAUCCUGAGAUUACUAUCAUUGCGGUCCUGCUUCUCAACUUCCUUCCUAACUCCCUGUUGUCAUUUUUCAGGACCUCUUCCCUUUUCCUACCUCUGUCAUUGGUACCAAUAUGUACCACAACCCCUGGCUGUUCUCCCUCCCACUGCAGGAUAUCUUGGAUGCGAUCUGAAACAUCCUGGACCCUGGCACCUGUGAGACAAACUACCAUCCGAGUUUCUUUCCUGCAUCCACAGAAUCGCCUGACUGACCCCAUAACUAUAGAAUCCCCUAUAACUACUGCCUUCCUCUUCCUUUCCCUACUCUUCUGAGCUACUGGACUAGACUCUGCGCCAGAGGCAUGGCCACUGCUGCUUCCCCCAGGUAGGCUAUCCCCCCCAACAGUACUCAUACAGGAGUACUUACUGUCAAGGGGUACAGCCACAAGAGGUACUCUCUAGUAGCUGACUCUUCCCCUUUUCCCCUCCUGACUGUGACCCACUUGUCCAUCUCCCGUGGCCCCGUUGUGACCACCUGCCUAUAACUCCUCUCUGUCACCUCCUCACUCUCCCUGACCAGCCAAAUGUCAUCGAGCUGCAUCUCCAGUUCCCUGACUCGGUCCCUCAGGAGCUGCAGCUCGACACACUUGGUGCAGAUAUGGCCAUCCGGCUGGGAGACUCCAGGACCCCCCCCCCCCCGCCCCACAUCUGACACCGUGCACAGAAAACUGGCCUCACACAGAUACUUCCUACCUCGCCUCAUCCCGUUACUGCCUAAGCCCAUUGAGCCAAAGCCCUACCACUCUGCUACCUCUCACUCGGCUGUCCACUCCGACGCUGCCCGCUGGAUACGGUGGUCUUCUUUUUAAACCUUUCAUGCUCUACAGGCUGACAUCACGCGCCUGCGCAGUCUCGCCUCUCUUUAACCCGAGUAGUUAAAAAACUCCCUUCGCUCCAAAAAAUCAGCAGUUCAUUCACAGCCUUCUUGCUCUGAAUUAAAAACCAUUGAAGGUUCCUUGCCUUUUUAAACCUUUUUAUAUAAGUGAAAGGGUGGGAAGAGGUAUAGUCCAGGUAACUGUGUGAAUCACUGGGUUUAUAAAAGAUAUCAGUAGAUAAACUUUCUCCAGAGAUGGAGACCAAGGGAUCGAUAAAAGGGAGGGAGGUGUUGGAAAUGGACCAGGUAAAUUUGAGGGCAGCGUGGAAGUUGGAGGCAAAAAUCAAUAAAGUUGAUGAGCUCAGCAUGGGUGCAGGAAGCAGCACCAAUGCAGUUGUUGAUGUAGUUUUGAUACAUUAUCUUUUCAAUAUCGGUAAUGAGUGACAGUGAGUUUGCCUUUAAAUAUGUUCUGCACUCUGCUAGAUACCUUCAACUCAACCACCAGAACUCACCUCUUAACCUCUCCGCCUAUCGAACACUCCUCUCACCCUGUGUCCUCUCUGACACCAUAUUCCAGCAAUGUCCUUUUUCAUAGGGACCGCCAUCGUUCCUUCAUAACAAACGGGCAGAUGGGUUGUUUAUUUAUUGUCUUUAUUUCUCCAAAUGAGGGAUGUAUCAAACUGAGUUCAGACCAUCCCAAAAUAGUCUCAAUUAUUGAGACAGAACUUUACUACUUUAGGAACAAUGGGAUAAUACAGAACAGCCCUCCUCCACUGUAUCACAUGACUUCAAUGUCACUGAAGUAUGGUGUGUGACCAGUGCGAAAGAUCUGUUGGUGUCAGCAAGCAAAAGGCAAGUUUCUACCCCUUUGUGACUUUGCAACAACUGGGUGAGUUAAUGCCAGCCCUGCUCUGAUAACCAAACCACAGCCAGGCAUCCUGAUUCCCCUGCAUGGUACUUUCCUAAAUUUUACCAACUGGGAUUAGGCAGUAACACUGUGUAGGUGGUCAGUUAUCUGUGGGGAUAACUUUUCACAUGAGCUACCGAGAAGAAAAUUGAAGGGCUCAGGAAAAGUGCUAGUUUUCUUUUCUGAGCAAAGUUGUCAUAAAACUUCACUCAACAUUUAAACUGUUCCUCUCUGUGUGCAGUGGUUAUUUAUGCGCCUGUGCAUUUUUAAAUUUUAUUCAGAUACAGCGCAGAAAAGGCCUUCUUGGCCCCUUGAGCUGCACCGCCCAGCGGCCCCCGAUUUAAUCCUAACCUAGCCAGCUGAUACAUCAUUGCACUGGGGCAGGGGGAACUGGAGCACUUGGAGGAAAUCUACACACUUACGGAGAGAACAUACAAACUCCUUACAGACAGUGGCAGGAAUUGAACCUGGGUUGCUGGUACUGUAAAGCGUUGUGCUAACCACUAUUCUACUGUGCCACCCUUGUGUAUGUGUGUGUGCGCAUGGUGCUUGUGUAUAGGGUUCCUCCUCAGGAUACACAUGCACAACCCAAGCAUACACGUGGGUGUUUGGGAGAGCAGCGCGUCGCAUUUGCCAGCUGCCGACAUCUUUCUUCCAGCUGGGCAUGGGGUACUUUCUGUGUUCCUCCUCUCCCUAAUUGCCACCCACCCCAAGCCACAACCACUGAGCUUUGCAGAGCCGAGAGUUGAGCAGACCCACACGUACACUCACCGAGUUAGGGAGGCUGGCCGGCGACCGCUCCUCCCACUCCUACUCGCUCUUCCCUCACAGCUGUUCCCCCACAUACUUGUUUUGUUAAUUUUUGAUUUACAAACUGAUUGGAUUAUGAACAGUUCUCGGGAAUGGAUCACAGUUGUAAUCUGGCGAGAGCCUGCAUGCAUGUCUAUGUGUAUGUGUAUGUGCCUUUGUAAAUUGUGAAAUAAGUUAGUAAGUUGGUUUAUUAUUGUCACCUACACAGAGGUAUUGUAAAAAAUUUGUCUUGCAUGCUGUUUAUACAGAUCAAAUCAUUAGUCAGUGCAUGGAGAUAAAACAGUAACGAUACAGAAUAAAGUUCAAAAGCUCCUGAAAAAGGGCAGUGGAAGAUUGGAAGAAUUGGAAGAUCAUAACAAGGUACAUGUGAUUCACUGUUCAUUAAACACACCAUACUGUAUAUAGAUACUACACAAAAUAUCAGACAUCCACCUGACUACAAUGACAUUCACCUGAGUUAGUCAAAAUCCUCAUUUCUUCUGGUACCAAGGUACAGUGAAAAACUUGUCUUGCGUUCUCUUCAUACAGAUCGAUGCGUUACACAGUGCACCACCGUAGCGUAAUGCUAUUACAGCUUGAGGUAUUCCAGAAAUUGGAGUUGAUUUCUGAUGCCAUCUGUAAGGCGUUUGUAUGACUGUGGGUUUCCUCCAGGUGCUCUGGUUUCCUCCCACAAAGACAUACCCGGUCAGUAGGUUAAUUGUUAACUGUCUGGUGAUUAGCCUUGUGUUAAAUAGGUGGCAUGCUGGACUGGAAGAGCGUGUACUGUGUUGUUUCUCUAAAUUUAAAAUAAAAGAAUAACAGCAUGCAGAAUUACAGAGAAAGUACCUAUGUAAGGCUGUGAGAGUGUGAAAGUUUUAUGUGUGCUGGUGUCAAUGUACAUGCCAGGUUUUUUCUGUCUGUGAAAAUGUACAGUAUGUACGUGUAUGUGCACUGAGCACUUGGAGCUCUUCACCCUUAAGCAACAUUUAAUUGACAUAUGUCACUGCUGUGUUAUCAGAUGACAAUGAGAACAAGAUGACAGAUCGCAGAACAUUUUGUCUGUGUUCAGAGUGAGAUUAGUCAGAUCAGACAAAAACCUACCUUACAGUAUCUUUAUUGUAUGAAACAUUUUAUGUGGUUAUAUUGUAAAAUCCUUAGCACUCGAACAGACAGGCAUUGGCACCAGUUAUUUCUGUGUCAGAGAAUACAUAUACCCUAAGGUCACUUUUAUAAUAGAACACCGUGAGAGAAUUGGGAGGGCAAAUAUUAGCUCCAA